CGAGCUGACUCGAUCA
This 16-nucleotide ribosomal RNA is filed under the name Magnaporthiopsis incrustans. RNAcentral describes it as "partial 26S ribosomal RNA". Lineage: Eukaryota; Fungi; Ascomycota; Sordariomycetes; Magnaporthales; Magnaporthaceae. The record is from RNAcentral.